RNAcentral lists this ribosomal RNA (489 nucleotides) under Triticum aestivum (bread wheat). Its description in RNAcentral is "partial small subunit ribosomal RNA". The record is from RNAcentral. Lineage: Eukaryota; Viridiplantae; Streptophyta; Magnoliopsida; Poales; Poaceae.
AUGGCGGAGUCGCCCGAGAACGCCGCCGCGGCGCCCGCCGCUCCUCCCGCCCCCGCCCCGGCCCCGGCGCCGGCGCCGAAGCCGUCCCCGCCCGCCAGGUCCGGGAUCCCGCCGCGGUACGACCUCGACGCCAAGUGGGACGCCUGCCUCGACCUCUCCAUCCGCCGCGUCGCCUACUCCUCCCUCGCCGGCGCCUUCGGGGGCCUCAUCCUCUUCCGUAGCCCAACAACCCGCUGGGCAUCAGUUGCACUUGGAGCUGGUGUGGGGAUAGGGGCUGCGUUCACUGAAUGCUCAUACAUAUUCAAUGGUUCUCCUCCAAAGUGGUCGGCCAAUGCUUCGACUGUUGCUGCUCAUUCUGAAGUAACUGCUUUCUCACUUUGUCCUUAUUGUACUGUUAGUUUGUUGGUUAAAAUUUAUGUUCAGCAUGUCCAUAUGGUUGAUACCAAAUUGCCAAAUAUGGUGUUCAUUUUUUAUUUCUCCUUGUUGUAA